Ictidomys tridecemlineatus (thirteen-lined ground squirrel) is the source of this 307-nucleotide non-coding RNA. Lineage: Eukaryota; Metazoa; Chordata; Mammalia; Rodentia; Sciuridae. The record is from RefSeq and is a predicted model, not a curated record.
CAGGCCAUUACUGAACCUGCCACCAUGUGGAUUCCCCCAGGUGGUCCAUCUCUUGGAACAAGGAAGAGCCCUUCUUCAGGACCUUGGAGGCUUUACCAGCAGCAAAGAAAUUGCCACUCAGCUUGCACGCAGCUCGCAUAAGCAGAUUGAAGAAGAAAUGAAAUAAGAAGAUGCUAUAGCUACUAUUUCCAUUAAAAGCUUCCAGGCCUCCUUCUCUCCUUGACUUGUGCCCCCUUCUUCUACUUUCAAGAAUCAUAAAGGCCAAAGGAUGAUUCAUGUCUUGGGCUGGAUGGAGCUGGAAGGUGAG